UGGGGAAUAUUGCACAAUGGGCGCCAGCCUGAUGCAGCCAUGCCGCGUGUGUGAAGAAGGCCUUCGGGUUGUAAAGCACUUUCAGCGGGGAGGAAGGCGAUAAGGUUAAUAACCUUGUCGAUUGACGUUACCCGCAGAAGAAGCACCGGCUAACUCCGUGCCAGCAGCCGCGGUAAUACGGAGGGUGCAAGCGUUAAUCGGAAUUACUGGGCGUAAAGCGCACGCAGGCGGUCUGUCAAGUCGGAUGUGAAAUCCCCGGGCUCAACCUGGGAACUGCAUUCGAAACUGGCAGGCUAGAGUCUUGUAGAGGGGGGUAGAAUUCCAGGUGUAGCGGUGAAAUGCGUAGAGAUCUGGAGGAAUACCGGUGGCGAAGGCGGCCCCCUGGACAAAGACUGACGCUCAGGUGCGAAAGCGUGGGGAGCAAACAGG
This 429-nucleotide ribosomal RNA is filed under the name Chloroflexota bacterium. Its description in RNAcentral is "Chloroflexi bacterium partial 16S ribosomal RNA". It matches the Rfam family "Bacterial small subunit ribosomal RNA", at positions 355 to 776 of the family's 1533-position model. The record is from RNAcentral. Lineage: Bacteria; Bacillati; Chloroflexota.